This 1223-nucleotide ribosomal RNA is filed under the name Escherichia coli. RNAcentral describes it as "partial 23S ribosomal RNA". It matches the Rfam family "Bacterial large subunit ribosomal RNA", at positions 165 to 1426 of the family's 2925-position model. The record is from RNAcentral. Lineage: Bacteria; Pseudomonadati; Pseudomonadota; Gammaproteobacteria; Enterobacterales; Enterobacteriaceae.
CAUAGGUUAAUGAGGCGAACCGGGGGAACUGAAACAUCUAAGUACCCCGAGGAAAAGAAAUCAACCGAGAUUCCCCCAGUAGCGGCGAGCGAACGGGGAGCAGCCCAGAGCCUGAAUCAGUGUGUGUGUUAGUGGAAGCGUCUGGAAAGGCGCGCGAUACAGGGUGACAGCCCCGUACACAAAAAUGCACAUACUGUGAGCUCGAUGAGUAGGGCGGGACACGUGGUAUCCUGUCUGAAUAUGGGGGGACCAUCCUCCAAGGCUAAAUACUCCUGACUGACCGAUAGUGAACCAGUACCGUGAGGGAAAGGCGAAAAGAACCCCGGCGAGGGGAGUGAAAAAGAACCUGAAACCGUGUACGUACAAGCAGUGGGAGCACGCUUAGGCGUGUGACUGCGUACCUUUUGUAUAAUGGGUCAGCGACUUAUAUUCUGUAGCAAGGUUAACCGAAUAGGGGAGCCGAAGGGAAACCGAGUCUUAACUGGGCGUUAAGUUGCAGGGUAUAGACCCGAAACCCGGUGAUCUAGCCAUGGGCAGGUUGAAGGUUGGGUAACACUAACUGGAGGACCGAACCGACUAAUGUUGAAAAAUUAGCGGAUGACUUGUGGCUGGGGGUGAAAGGCCAAUCAAACCGGGAGAUAGCUGGUUCUCCCCGAAAGCUAUUUAGGUAGCGCCUCGUGAAUUCAUCUCCGGGGGUAGAGCACUGUUUCGGCAAGGGGGUCAUCCCGACUUACCAACCCGAUGCAAACUGCGAAUACCGGAGAAUGUUAUCACGGGAGACACACGGCGGGUGCUAACGUCCGUCGUGAAGAGGGAAACAACCCAGACCGCCAGCUAAGGUCCCAAAGUCAUGGUUAAGUGGGAAACGAUGUGGGAAGGCCCAGACAGCCAGGAUGUUGGCUUAGAAGCAGCCAUCAUUUAAAGAAAGCGUAAUAGCUCACUGGUCGAGUCGGCCUGCGCGGAAGAUGUAACGGGGCUAAACCAUGCACCGAAGCUGCGGCAGCGACGCUGAUGCGUUGUUGGGUAGGGGAGCGUUCUGUAAGCCUGUGAAGGUGUGCUGUGAGGCAUGCUGGAGGUAUCAGAAGUGCGAAUGCUGACAUAAGUAACGAUAAAGCGGGUGAAAAGCCCGCUCGCCGGAAGACCAAGGGUUCCUGUCCAACGUUAAUCGGGGCAGGGUGAGUCGACCCCUAAGGCGAGGCCGAAAGGCGUAGUCGAUGGGAAAC